AAAGUCGUAACAAGGUUUCCGUAGGUGAACCUGCGGAAGGAUCAUUAUUGAAUGAAUUUAGAGUUGGUUGUCGCUGGCCCCCCCAAGCAAAGGAGGGGGCAUGUGCACGCCUUCUCUUUUCAUCCACACACACCUGUGCACUUGUGAGACGGAGGAUUGAAAAAAAAGUCCUCCGUCUACUAAUUACACAAACUCAAUUGUACUUGAACUGAAUGUAAUUGAUGUAACACAUCAUUGGAACAAAGUUUCAACAACGGAUCUCUUGGCUCUC
RNAcentral lists this unclassified non-coding RNA (271 nucleotides) under Basidiomycota sp. RNAcentral's name for it is "partial contains small subunit ribosomal RNA, internal transcribed spacer 1, and 5.8S ribosomal RNA". The stretch from base 1 to 47 matches the Rfam family "Eukaryotic small subunit ribosomal RNA", at positions 1785 to 1831 of the family's 1831-position model. Lineage: Eukaryota; Fungi; Basidiomycota. The record is from RNAcentral.